UACAGAGGUCUCAAGCGUUGUUCGGAUUCAUUGGGCGUAAAGGGUGCGUAGGCGGCGCGGUAAGUCGGGUGUGAAAUCUCGGAGCUUAACUCCGAAACUGCAUUCGAUACUGCCGUGCUUGAGGACUGGAGAGGAGACUGGAAUUUACGGUGUAGCGGUGAAAUGCGUAGAUAUCGUAAGGAAGACCAGUGGCGAAGGCGGGGCUCUGGACAGUGCCUGACGCUGAGGCACGAAGGUCAGGGGAGCAAACGGG
This 253-nucleotide ribosomal RNA is filed under the name uncultured bacterium. RNAcentral describes it as "partial 16S ribosomal RNA". It matches the Rfam family "Bacterial small subunit ribosomal RNA", at positions 524 to 776 of the family's 1533-position model. The record is from RNAcentral.